Oncorhynchus keta (chum salmon) is the source of this 5740-nucleotide long non-coding RNA. RefSeq lists it as uncharacterized. Lineage: Eukaryota; Metazoa; Chordata; Actinopteri; Salmoniformes; Salmonidae. The record is from RefSeq and is a predicted model, not a curated record. The transcript has 2 exons.
UUGGAUAAAAAAGGGGAAGGGUGUGUGGCGAAGAUAGGCACUUCUCUCUCCGCUAUUGCUCACUGACUCCCACCUAUUUGUGCGCGCUCUUUGUUUCAUUGUGCCAAUUGUUUGUCAAUGUUUAUCAAUGCCCCGUGAAAUACAUAUUCAUCAAUGAAGUUACUGUUAAUCACAAAAUAUCCCCCCAUUAAUUUAGAAUGUUGGAUUCUGUAAAUGUUGAUAAUUCAUUCAAUAUAAUAUACAUUCAUAGCAUUCUCAUUCUCCAACUGGAGAAUUGUUUGAUGAGCUCACAAACUGCACAUUAGUUGUGAUAAAGAAUUUUUGGUUUAUUUAAUUGCAUUUACCAGUUUAGGCCUACUGUCUGUCUGAGAUCUCAUGAAAGGAGGAGUUGGGACCGGAAAGAGAGCGGAAAGAGAGCAGAGUGGAUGCAACAGAAAGGAGGAAGACAAGUAUGCUCACAUGUCCCCAUCACUUCCAUUCAGUGUUAGCUUGUGUUGACUAAAGUUGGCUGAAGUUUGUAUUGACUACUUAAAGAGAACUGAACCAUGGAUUACAGUUUCUCCUGGUACAUAGACUACUUUCAGUGUGAUGAACCAUCUAAUAUCAAGUUGUAAAAUAGUGAACUACUCCUUUAAGGCCCAGUAGGUAAAACGGUUCUCAUAAAUCCUGCUUUGUGUUCUCUACCCAUUCUGUCCUGGCUGGCUAUUCCCAUCCCUUCCGCCAGGGCACCAGAACCUUACUGUUUCCCAGGCUCUGUUUGUUUAGUGUAAUUGCCUCGGGUGGGAAUCAGGUGCUACUGCCUCAGUGGAGACUGGAGACUACAGCGCCCUCACUCAUCCUCCUACCUUCCUACCUACCUCCCUCCCUCCCUUGUCCUCCCCAUGGCCCUGACUGCAGCCAGAGAACACAAAGAGACCGAGUGGGAAGGCUUUGUCACCCCCCACCGCCCUGAUGUCGAAGUUGGUAGGCUGUUGUCCCACUCCUCUGGGAACCUCACCUCCCAGGCGACCAGCGUUGCCAAGGAACUAAUCCUGAGGGACAAAAGGUGGGAACGGGGUGGAAUACGAUGCCUCCAUAGCAGGGAUCAUCAACUAGAUUAAGCUGCAGGCUUUUGGUCACGGGGCCGUAACAUAAUUACGAAUCAUUUUUUAGACUGCAAUUUGACUGCCCAAACAGAUAUAAUAUUUGACUAAAACAUCAUCAUUUCAAACCUUGCUUACCUUUGUAUACGAUCACGUAUAUGUAUCUAUUAUGUGUGGGAAUAGUUUAGAACAGAUUUCCAAAUUUACAAUCACUUGAAGCUGAUUUGUUGGUGUUUUUACAGUAUUUUAUGAACAAACAUGGAAAUAAACUCUCAGAAAACUUGGAGGGCCAAAUAAAAUCAGAGAGAAACAGCAUCUGAUUGGUUGGCGUUGGGCCACGCAAUCGUCUGAUUUAUACCAAUGAUGUGUUUAAACCCUGGAUGACUGACAGGGAGGCUGAAUUGAAACCACCACACAGCCAUCUUGGUACUCCUCCAAUGUAAAAAAAAAAAAAAAAAGAUUUUGGAAGCUAUAGAAAUGCAUUUAUUAAUGUCUACAUUCGUUUUUGACACAUUUAUUAUAUUACAGACACCUUAAUGCAUACUUUGAAAUGAUAUUAAGUGAGAUAAAAAUGAAAAUGAAAAAUGAACAAAUAUAUAGAACGAUUUUCCUUAAAGUUUAUUUUGUUGAGAAUACUGCUACUAUCCACCUACAACAACAAACAUACUUAAAUACUUGUAAUUCUGUCUUUGAAAUACUGUAGAAUUCCAUUCAUUCCUUUGGAGGACUGCUCCUACUGGGGAGUGACAAUAUGGCCAAACAGUGGCUUCAUAGCCUCUUAAUGGCUAAUACAUAGCAUUGGCAAUGCAGAGUUUAUAUACAGUACCAGUCCAAUGUUUGGACACACCUACUCAUUCAAGGGUUUCUCUUAAUUUUUUACUAUUUUCUACAUUGUAGAAUAAUAGUGAAUACAUCAAAACUAUGCAAUAACACAUAUGGAAUCAUGUAGUAACCUGAUGCAGUACUCCAUCACUCUCCUUCUUGGUCAGAUAGCCCUUACACAGCCUGGAGGUGUGUUAAGUCAUUGUCCUUUUGAAAAACAAAUGAUAUUAGUCACACUAAGCACAAGCCAGGUGGGAUGGCGUAACACUGCAGAAUGCUGUGGUAGCCAUGCUGGUUAUGUCACGCCCUGACCAUAGAGAGCCAUUGUUUCUCUAUGGUGUAGUAGGUCAGGGCGUGACUAGGGGGUGAUCUAGUAUAUCUAUGUCUAUGUUGUGUUCUAGUUUCUUUUUCUAUGUUGGUGUUUUGUAUGAUUCCCAAUUAGAGGCAGCUGGUAUCAUUGUCUCUAAUUGGGGAUCAAAUUUAAGUAGUUAUUUUUCCCACCUGUGUUUGUGGGAUCUUGUUUAUGUGUAGUUGCCUGUGAGCACUCAUUGUCGUCACGUUUCGGUCAUUCGUUAUUGUUUUUGUGCGUUUCCGUUAAUAAACAUGUGGAAACCAUAUCGCACUGCACCUUGGUCCGAUAGUUCUUACGACGAACGUGACAGGUUAAAUUGAAUUCUAAAUAAAUCACUGACCGUGUCAGAACAAAUUUCUACCGCUCUAAUGUCCAUUGCUCGUGUUUCUUGGCCAAAGCAAAUCUUUUCUUCUUAUUGGUGUCCUUCAGUAGUGGUUUCUUUGCAGCAAUUCAACCACGAAGGCCUGAUUCACAGUCUCCUCUGAGCAGUUGAUGUUGAGAUGUGUCUGUUACUUGAACUCUGUGAAGCAUUUAUUUGGGAUGCAAUUUCUGAGGCUGCAGUUAACUCUAAUGAACUUGUCCUCUGCAGCAGAGGUAACUGUGGGUCUUCCUUUCCUGUGGCUGUCCUCAUGAGAGUCCGUUUCAUCAUAGCGCUUGAUGGUUUAUGCGACUGCACUUAAAGAAACUUUCAAAGUUCUUGAAAUGUUCUGCAUUGACUGACCUUAAUGUCUUAAAGAAAUUAUGGACUGUUGUUUCUCUUUGCUUAUUUGAGCUGUUCUUGCCAUAAUAUGGACUUUUACCAAAUAGGGUUAUCUUCUGUAUACCACCCCUACCUUGUCACAACACAACUGAUUGACUCAAACUCAUUAAUUAAGAAGGACAUUCCAAAAAUGUACUUUCAACAAGGUACAGCUGUUGAUUGAAAUGCAUUCCAGGUGAGAAGCAUGUUGAGAUAAUGCCAAGAGUGUGCAAAACUGUCAUCAGGGCAAAGGCUGGCUACUUUUAAGAAGCUCAAAUAUAAAAUAUAUUUUGAUUUGUUUAACACUUUUUUGGUUACUACUUUAUUCCAUUUGUAUUAUUUAAUAGUUUUGAUGUCUUUACUGUUCUACAAUGUAGAACAUAGUAAAAACCUGGAAUGAGUAGGUGUGUCCAGAUUUUGACUGGUACUGUACAUAAUUGGUUUAUACCCAUUCAACACAUCUCUCUCUCACACACACACACACACACACACACACACACACACACACACACACACACACACACACACACACACACACACACACACACACACACACACACACACACACACACACACACACACCACCCCUUCAUCUUGCGAUAGGCCAUGGGUAAGUUAUUUGCACUGAGCUGAGAGUAGACAGAAAGAUCAAGAAAAGAGAAAGAGGGAGAGAGAUGACUUAAUAAAGAAGUGUCUGUGGUGUAAUGGAGCGCUGAGACACAAUGCCAAGAAUGUGGUGAGAGCCCUGGGUUCGAUGGGUUUCUCACACACACGUUCAUAGUGUGUGAAUGUACACACACAUCUUUGCACGUACGUGGAUAAACAUACUCCUUGCAGCAGUGAAGUCUGGAUUAGCAGUGGAUAAAUGUCUUGAUCCAGACUAGGACUGCAUCCCAGUCUCAACUGAUCCGCUAUCCCCUUUACAUGGCGAAUGAUUCUGCAUUGCCCAACACCUACAUAUUCAACACAGCAAUGGGCAGUGUCACAAUCACAGUACUCUAAAUCUAUGGCUUCAUUUCCAAAGGGAUUGUGUGUCGGUGUAGCGGCCUUUUGACUCAGUGCAUUGGUCCAUAUCCCACUUCAUUAUGAUAGGCUAAUUUAUUGAAACUGUCACACAUUUUCUCACACCCCUCCACUGCAGCCCAAACCCAAUUUUGUCAGAACAGAUCCACUGUGUUUGCAGUCUGACCGCUGGUCAGGUCAGGGUCAGGCUUCACUGUGAGGUUUGAACUGCUUCUCGACUGCUGGGUCUGGAGUAGGCAGGUUCCCAGGCUCCUUUGCUCUUAACUCCAGAUUAAUUAUGCUCUACUGAGCUGGAAACAAACUGGUGCUCUUCCCACUGCUCACCAGCAGUGCUGGCUAUCUCUCUCUCUCACACACACACACACACACACACACACACACACACACACACACACACACACACACACACACACACACACACACACACACACACACACACACACACACACACACACACACACACACUGAGUAUACCAAACACCUUCCUAAUAUAUUGAGUUGCACCCUUUUGCCCUCAGAACAACCUAAUUUCGUCAGGGCAUGGACUCUACAAGGUGUCGAAGGUGUUCCACAGGGACACUGGCCCAUGUUGACUCCAAUGCUUCCCACAUUUGUGUCAAGGUGUCAAGUUCUUCCACACCGAUCUCGACUAACCAUUUCUGUAUGGACCUCGCUUUGUGCACGAGGGAAUUGUCAUGUGUGAUGCACACAAAAUGUAUGGUCACAUUUGUGUUUAUGUAUUGUUUCUUUGUAUUGGGGAAGAAUCCUUUUACUGAAAUGUCAGUCCUCCAAGGUUUUGCCAUUGCGAUACAUUUAUUCUACUGUUGGCCAGUAGGGGACAGUGUUCACUUCACACUGGGAUGUGAUCCUGCACCUGUGUGUUCUCAUAAUUGAGAGAACCUUAGAAAGAGGAGCCACUUUCUCCUGUUUCAUCAUUAAUCCUGUGUUACAGGUCAGUAAAGUGCAAAAUUACGCUGAAUACAAAAAUAUAGUUUUGUAACUUGCCUGAUGAAGUGAAUGUAAUGGUUGUGAAAAACAUAGUAAUUGUAAAACUGUGUACUAUACAGAAAACGCACGUCGAGUGUAAAAUGAAAUGAUGGCGUUGCUUUCCUUUGAUCUAGGAAAGAACUAAGUUAACUCAUGACCAUUUAUAUUUUUGAAAAAGACACUCCUGACAAUAUCCUAAGGGUUUAGAGAACAUAAUGUUGUAACUGUGAUGUUUUAGAACUUUUUAAUUGUUGUGCUGUAUAUGUUAGAAAAGCCGCUAGCUUUUGGCUAACUCCUGUUAGCUGUUUGCUAACUCCGGUCAGUUGGUUGCUAGCUUGCUAGGUUUUUGCUAGCUUGUUCAGUAAUUUUCCAAUAAUUAGCAUUAAUGUCAUUUGUAAUAGUCUUGUCUUUCUAUCAGCCCUUCGUACACUGGGUGAAUGUAUUUUGAGCAUGGGUAUGAAGUAACUUCAAAUAAAUUAUACCAGUCUUUAAAGGCUUUCAUGAUUUAGAGUCUCCUAUGGGGCUAUAGUGGGCAACAGCCAACUACAUCAUUAUAUCCUAAACAGGUGAAUUCAAGUUAAGAAUAAAUGUGUUUGGGGUAUAAAUGCAAAGAAUUUUAGGAUGUGAAUUGAAUUGGAAUAUAAUAUUUUUUAUGUGUAAAUGUAUGUAUUUUUGAUAUGUUUAUAUAAUAUAUAUAUAAUAAUAAUAAAAUAAUUGAGAAACUUUGAAAGAGAA